RNAcentral lists this transfer RNA (75 nucleotides) under Paramagnetospirillum kuznetsovii. RNAcentral's name for it is "Magnetospirillum sp. LBB-42 tRNA-Val". It matches the Rfam family "tRNA". Rfam says of the family: Transfer RNA (tRNA) molecules are approximately 80 nucleotides in length. Their secondary structure includes four short double-helical elements and three loops (D, anti-codon, and T loops). Lineage: Bacteria; Pseudomonadati; Pseudomonadota; Alphaproteobacteria; Rhodospirillales; Magnetospirillaceae. The record is from RNAcentral.
GGGCGGUUAGCUCAGCGGUAGAGCACUGUGUUGACAUCGCAGGGGUCACAAGUUCAAACCUUGUACCGCCCACCA